UGGACUUGAGGAGAAUCACUGAACUUGGUGU
Molecule: non-coding RNA, 31 nt
Filed under: Mus musculus (house mouse)
Lineage: Eukaryota; Metazoa; Chordata; Mammalia; Rodentia; Muridae
Source: RNAcentral